UGGGGAAUAUUGCGCAAUGGGCGAAAGCCUGACGCAGCAACGCCGCGUGAGGGAACGAAGGCCCUAGGGUUGUAAACCUCUUUCAGCAGGGACGAAGCGAAAGUGACGGUACCUGCAGAAGAAGCACCGGCUAACUACGUGCCAGCAGCCGCGGUAAUACGUAGGGUGCAAGCGUUGUCCGGAUUUAUUGGGCGUAAAGGGCUCGUAGGCGGUCCGUCACGUCGGAAGUGAAAACCUAGAGCUUAACUCUGGGCCUGCUUUCGAUACGGGCGGACUUGAGUUCGGUAGGGGAGACUGGAAUUCCUGGUGUAGCGGUGGAAUGCGCAGAUAUCAGGAGGAACACCAAUGGCGAAGGCAGGUCUCUGGGCCGAUACUGACGCUGAGGAGCGAAAGCGUGGGGAGCGAACA
This 408-nucleotide ribosomal RNA is filed under the name uncultured bacterium. Its description in RNAcentral is "bacterial SSU rRNA". It matches the Rfam family "Bacterial small subunit ribosomal RNA", at positions 355 to 774 of the family's 1533-position model. The record is from RNAcentral.